UUCCUGGUGGUCCAGUGGUUAAGACUCAGCACUUUAAUUGCCAUGGGCCCAGGUUUGAUUCCUGACCAGGGAA
Transfer RNA from Ovis aries (sheep), 73 nucleotides. It matches the Rfam family "tRNA". From Rfam's summary of the family: Transfer RNA (tRNA) molecules are approximately 80 nucleotides in length. Their secondary structure includes four short double-helical elements and three loops (D, anti-codon, and T loops). Further hydrogen bonds mediate the characteristic L-shaped molecular structure. tRNAs have two regions of fundamental functional importance: the anti-codon, which is responsible for specific mRNA codon recognition, and the 3' end, to which the tRNAs corresponding amino acid is attached (by aminoacyl-tRNA synthetases). tRNAs cope with the degeneracy of the genetic code in two manners: having more than one tRNA (with a specific anti-codon) for a particular amino acid; and 'wobble' base-pairing, i.e. permitting non-standard base-pairing at the 3rd anti-codon position. The record is from Rfam. NCBI's taxonomy places the organism in Eukaryota, Metazoa, Chordata, Mammalia, Artiodactyla, Bovidae.